RNAcentral lists this long non-coding RNA (1276 nucleotides) under Cricetulus griseus (Chinese hamster). RNAcentral's name for it is "lncRNA (ENSCGRG00015041909.1)". Lineage: Eukaryota; Metazoa; Chordata; Mammalia; Rodentia; Cricetidae. The record is from RNAcentral.
CUGAGGGCUCAGGAUCCACCGGCAGAGUCGAACUGCAAGAACUGAGCUUGUCCAACAUCCUCCGGGAUUUUAUUUUAUUUUUCUAUCUUCCUUCCCUUCUAUAAAUGAUCCUGGAAUUUUACCUGCCCUCAUGAAAUGAGCCGCCCUCAGCAGCUUCUUCCAUCCUGCCGUCCUACGCCAGAGAAGAAAAGACCCAGCACCAGGAAAUAAAGAGUGCCCAAAUCUUCACCCCUGGGAGCACUGUGGCAGAUGUGGUGCUGGAGCUGAGAGUGCUGCUUCUUACAGGGAACAAGAAGUCAAUUGAAAGUCACCCUGAGGCAAGCAUGAGCAAAAGAGACCUCCACACAGCUGCUUCUUGCCAUGGCAGUUGGCUUUCCCCAAAAUGGAACUCUGGAUGCUGCCUCACCACUGCUGUUGCUGUCAUGGUUAAUCUGCUGUAUCUUCUUCAUGUUACCAGCUCAGCCUACACAUGAUAAAGGUCAGAUCCAAUUUCUUCCUGUGACAACCAUCUUACAAAUGUCUCCCAAUGGAUCUCCUCAUAGUCACAUCUUUGAGUUCCGUCUGCAGGAAAUGUUUGCAUCCCUACAAAAGAAGAGGCAGUUGGACUGAGAAGACAGCUCAGCAGGUGAAGAGCUUGCCACAGGAGCACGAGGACCUGCGUUUCAUCUUCGGCACCCACAUAAAGCCAGGCACAACAGUACACACCUGUAAUCCCCGCACUGACCAGAGGAUACUUAGGGCUUGCUGGCCAGCCCGUUUAACUGAAUUGGUGAAAAUAAUGGCUCAACAGGCAUGGCGGUUUGAAUGAGAAAUGCCUUACAUAGCCUCACAUAUGUGACUGCUUGGUCCCAGGCUGGUGACACUGUUUGGGGAAGCUAUGUAAUCUUUAGGAAGUGAUGCCUUAAUGGAGGAAGUACACCAGUGAGGGCAGGCUUUGAGAGUUCAUUGCCUGACCCCACUUCCAGUUUGCUGUCUCUGCUUUGUGUUUGUGUCUGAAGACGCAAUUUCUCAGCAGCCUGCUCCGGUGGCCUGCUGCCAUGACACCCCACCACUUAUGGACUCUCUCUCUGGGACUGUAAGCCCAAAUAAACUAUUCCAUAAAUCAAUUUUGGUCAGUUUAUCAGAGCAACAGGAAUGUACUUAAUACCAUGGGUAAAGGCACUUGCUGCCAAGUCUGAACACCUGAGUUGGAUCCCCAGGACCCAAUAGGAGAAGGAGAGAAGCAUUCCUGUGAGUGUUCUGACUUCCAGACUCAUACUGAGGCACAAGCAGUCCC